UUUGAGGAGGCCUCUGGAUCUUGGUAGAGAAGCUGCUGGCUUAUAUAAACUGGCUUGGGUUCCUCCUUCCCCUUCUUCCUUUGUUUGUUGUUCCUCUACUUCUGUUUGUUCUGUAUCUGCUUCUUGUAAUGAUGACACUUUGUCUGAUAGCAAGGUUGUUGCAUUGCCUUCUGUGUAUGUUUCUUAUCAUGAUGACAUUUUGUCUGAUAACAAGGCUGUUCCAUUGCCUUCAGAUGUAUAUAGUUCCAUCUGUAAUACUGAUCUUACAUCUGACAUGAAUUACAUUUGGCACUUAA
RNAcentral lists this long non-coding RNA (296 nucleotides) under Nicotiana benthamiana. Its description in RNAcentral is "long non-coding RNA (NBEN_LNC037221)". The record is from RNAcentral. Lineage: Eukaryota; Viridiplantae; Streptophyta; Magnoliopsida; Solanales; Solanaceae.